Molecule: ribosomal RNA, 252 nt
Filed under: uncultured bacterium
Lineage: Bacteria
Description: partial 16S ribosomal RNA
Rfam family: Bacterial small subunit ribosomal RNA
Source: RNAcentral
UACGUAGGGGGCGAGCGUUGUCCGGAAUUAUUGGGCGUAAAGGGUGCGUAGGCGGCCUUUUAAGUCAGGUGUGAAAUCCAUGGGCUCAACCUGUGUAAGCACUUGAAACUGGAAGGCUUGAGUUAAGGAGAGGAAAGUGGAAUUCCUAGUGUAGCGGUGAAAUGCGUAGAUAUUAGGAGGAAUACCAGUGGCGAAGGCGACUUUCUGGCCUUUAACUGACGCUGAGGCACGAAAGCGUGGGGAGCAAACAGG